GACGAACGCUGGCGGCGUGCUUAACACAUGCAAGUCGAACGGAAAGGCCCUGCUUUUGUGGGGUGCUCGAGUGGCGAACGGGUGAGUAACACGUGAGUAACCUGCCCUUGACUUUGGGAUAACUUCAGGAAACUGGGGCUAAUACCGGAUAGGAGCUCCUGCUGCAUGGUGGGGGUUGGAAAGUUUCGGCGGUUGGGGAUGGACUCGCGGCUUAUCAGCUUGUUGGUGGGGUAGUGGCUUACCAAGGCUUUGACGGGUAGCCGGCCUGAGAGGGUGACCGGCCAAAUUGGGACUGAGAUACGGCCCAGACUCCUACGGGGGGCAACAGUGGGGAAUAGUGCACAAUGGGCGGAAGCCUGAUGCAGCAACGCCGCGUGCGGGAUGACGGCCUUCGGGUUGUAAACCGCUUUCGCCUGUGACGAAGCGUGAGUGACGGUAAUGGGUAAAGAAGCACCGGCUAACUACGUG
Molecule: ribosomal RNA, 468 nt
Filed under: uncultured bacterium
Lineage: Bacteria
Description: partial 16S ribosomal RNA
Rfam family: Bacterial small subunit ribosomal RNA
Source: RNAcentral